UGUGUACACACUGAAAAUACCAGAUGUGGUGCAGGGUUGUCAAAUAAUCCUCCAAGAAAAUGAGUACACAAAUAAAAUGUAACUCCUUUCAACGGUUUCAAGUAUACAGCAGGAACAGUGAACCCUGUACACAGUGCACACAAAAUACCACGUUCUGGUUUUACUGUACUGCCGAAAAAAAUCACUUAACACCACAGCCUCGAAAAAAUUGAUUUGUAUUCAUUGAUAUAUUACAUUAUUAAUCCGAUACGGACAGAAAUAAACUGUGGAAAAUCGCUGACGGGCUGGAGACUAGUUAACAUUAAUGCAGGCACAUCUGGAGAAACUAUAGGCCCUUGGUCAAACAACCCAUUGUUCAAGAAAUAUAUUAGUGUUAUUGCCGAGCCAAACUAGAAUCAAAGUCGCAGCCAACUUUCAGUGCCCCCGAAAGUCAGCCAAGGAAAUUGCCUGCCGCCUCGCCCCCCAUGCAAAGCGGGAAAAGCGCCUCGGGGGUGUCGGAAGUGACGGGAAACUUUCAUGGCCAGACCAGACCAGGCCCAGACUCGAGGAGAGGCCAGCACUGGACGCAGUCAACUGUCAGCCAGGAGUUGGGAGGCGGCCAAGGAGGAGACACAGAACACAGCCGCAACAUGGAAGAUCUCUGCAUGGGACGAAAGAAAGGAGAGGGCGAACUUCUUUGCUGAAGCCUUUUAUGGGUCUCCCCAGCUGGA
Long non-coding RNA from Drosophila miranda, 710 nucleotides. RefSeq lists it as uncharacterized. NCBI's taxonomy places the organism in Eukaryota, Metazoa, Arthropoda, Insecta, Diptera, Drosophilidae. The transcript is spliced from 3 exons. The record is from RefSeq and is a predicted model, not a curated record.